This 736-nucleotide ribosomal RNA is filed under the name Pseudomonas aeruginosa. RNAcentral describes it as "bacterial SSU rRNA". It matches the Rfam family "Bacterial small subunit ribosomal RNA", at positions 61 to 789 of the family's 1533-position model. Lineage: Bacteria; Pseudomonadati; Pseudomonadota; Gammaproteobacteria; Pseudomonadales; Pseudomonadaceae. The record is from RNAcentral.
GUCGAGCGGAUGAAGGGAGCUUGCUCCUGGAUUCAGCGGCGGACGGGUGAGUAAUGCCUAGGAAUCUGCCUGGUAGUGGGGGAUAACGUCCGGAAACGGGCGCUAAUACCGCAUACGUCCUGAGGGAGAAAGUGGGGGAUCUUCGGACCUCACGCUAUCAGAUGAGCCUAGGUCGGAUUAGCUAGUUGGUGGGGUAAAGGCCUACCAAGGCGACGAUCCGUAACUGGUCUGAGAGGAUGAUCAGUCACACUGGAACUGAGACACGGUCCAGACUCCUACGGGAGGCAGCAGUGGGGAAUAUUGGACAAUGGGCGAAAGCCUGAUCCAGCCAUGCCGCGUGUGUGAAGAAGGUCUUCGGAUUGUAAAGCACUUUAAGUUGGGAGGAAGGGCAGUAAGUUAAUACCUUGCUGUUUUGACGUUACCAACAGAAUAAGCACCGGCUAACUUCGUGCCAGCAGCCGCGGUAAUACGAAGGGUGCAAGCGUUAAUCGGAAUUACUGGGCGUAAAGCGCGCGUAGGUGGUUCAGCAAGUUGGAUGUGAAAUCCCCGGGCUCAACCUGGGAACUGCAUCCAAAACUACUGAGCUAGAGUACGGUAGAGGGUGGUGGAAUUUCCUGUGUAGCGGUGAAAUGCGUAGAUAUAGGGAAGGAACACCAGUGGCGAAGGCGACCACCUGGACUGAAUACUGACACUGAGGUGCGAAAGCGUGGGGGAGCAAACAGGAUUAGAUACUCUG